AAAAAAAAAAAAAAAAAAGGCAAAAUAUAACAAAGUAUAUUUUGUACACUUUGUUAUAUUUUGUAUACUUUGUUAUAUUUUGUAUGCUAUAGUAACAAAGCAGAUCCGUGGUUGCUUGGGGAUGAGGUGGGGCAGUUAGGAAGGGAAUUACAAAGGGGCAUGAGGAAACUUGGAGAUGAUGAUAUGUCCACUAUCUUGAUUAUGGUGAUGGUUUCAUGAGUGUAUGCAUAUGUUAUUUUUUUUCAAAACAAAUACCUAACACUUCUGUUUCUUGGACCAAUUUUUUUUUUAACUUGCCCUGCCCCCACCACCUGCUUGGACCAAAAUAUAAUACCUAUUUAUGUCCUAAAAAAAUAGUAGCAGUUUAGAAAAUCGACAACACAUAGAUAGAAAAAAAAAUUGUUAAAUAACUACAAUUGCUUAUUAAUGGAUGCAUGUUUGUUAGACUCUGCACACCUUCCCAAACCUUAAUCAGAUUGUCUGAUAUCACCUAAAUCACUUUAUCCAUGCUGAUUUUUGUCAGGUGUUUGCUUUUUAUCACAGAAACUGCUGUAAACCCAGCUUUGCAAAAAGAUGUCAUUGAAAGAAAAGUAGUUCAAUGUAACUUUGAAACUUUGAACUCCCUUGAAUAGUUUAUGAGGUAUCUGACAUGUUGAGUACCCAUAUAUUUCCCUCAAACAAUUUAAAGCAUCUUACAGCGUCCCUGAGAAUUCACUAUGGCACUCUGAGGUGCCUCAACACAGUUUGGGAACUGCAAUCCUAACUCACGCAGGUCUGUGUUUCCUCAUUCUGUUUCUUUUCACUUAGUAUUAUGGUUUUUUUGUUUUGUUUUUUAGAGGGAGUCUCUGUCACCCAG
Molecule: long non-coding RNA, 856 nt
Filed under: Homo sapiens (human)
Lineage: Eukaryota; Metazoa; Chordata; Mammalia; Primates; Hominidae
Description: HSALNT0282544
Source: RNAcentral